RNAcentral lists this ribosomal RNA (497 nucleotides) under uncultured bacterium. RNAcentral describes it as "partial 16S ribosomal RNA". It matches the Rfam family "Bacterial small subunit ribosomal RNA", at positions 28 to 507 of the family's 1533-position model. The record is from RNAcentral.
GAUGAACGCUGGCGGCGUGCCUAAUACAUGCAAGUCGAGCGAACAGACGAGGAGCUUGCUCCUCUGACGUUAGCGGCGGACGGGUGAGUAACACGUGGAUAACCUACCUAUAAGACUGGGAUAACUUCGGGAAACCGGAGCUAAUACCGGAUAAUAUAUUGAACCGCAUGGUUCAAUAGUGAAAGACGGUUUUGCUGUCACUUAUAGAUGGAUCCGCGCCGCAUUAGCUAGUUGGUAAGGUAACGGCUUACCAAGGCAACGAUGCGUAGCCGACCUGAGAGGGUGGCCGCCCAAAGUGGAAUUGAGCACGGGCCCAACCCCCGCGGGGGGGCAGCAGUGGGGAUUCUCCGAAAUGGGGAAAAACCGGGAGGGAGAAAGCCCGGGGGGUGAAGAAAGGUUUGGGAAUCGAAAACCUUUGUUAUAGGGGAAAAAAAAAUGUAAAAGAAAAUAGGCGCGUCUGGACGGUACCUAAUCGAAAAGCCACGCCAAACUACGUG